This 271-nucleotide ribosomal RNA is filed under the name uncultured bacterium. RNAcentral's name for it is "partial 16S ribosomal RNA". It matches the Rfam family "Bacterial small subunit ribosomal RNA", at positions 524 to 794 of the family's 1533-position model. The record is from RNAcentral.
UACGUAGGUGGCAAGCGUUGUCCGGAUUUAUUGGGUUUAAAGGGUGCGUAGGUGGUUUCUUAAGUCAGUGGUGAAAUACGGCAGCUCAACUGUCGAGGUGCCAUUGAUACUGGGAGACUUGAGUACUGAUGAGGUAGGCGGAAUGGACGGUGUAGCGGUGAAAUGCUUAGAGAUCGUCCAGAACACCGAUAGCGAAGGCAGCUUACUAAGGAGUAACUGACACUGAGGCACGAAAGUGUGGGGAUCAAACAGGAUUAGAUACCCUAGUAGU